GAUGAACGCUGGCGGCGUGCUUAACACAUGCAAGUCGAACGGAAAGGCUCCUGCUUGCAGGGGUACUCGAGUGGCGAACGGGUGAGUAACACGUGGGUGAACUGCCCUGCACUUCGGGAUAAGCCUGGGAAACUGGGUCUAAUACCGGAUAGGACGAUGGUUUGGAUGCCAUUGUGGAAAGUUUUUCGGUGUGGGCUGAGCUCGCGGCCUAUCAGCUUGUUGGUGGGGUAAUGGCCUACCAAGGCGUCGACGGGUAGCCGGCCUGAGAGGGUGUACGGCCACAUUAGGACUGAGAGACGGCCCAGACUCCUACGGGAGGCAGCAGUGGGGAAUAUUGCACAAUGGGCGCGAGUCUGAUGCAGCGACGCCGCGUGGGGGAUGACGGCCUUCGGGUUGUAAACUCCUUUCGCUAGGAACGAAGCGCAAGUGACGGUACCUGGAGAAGAAGCACCGGCUAACUACGUG
This 465-nucleotide ribosomal RNA is filed under the name uncultured bacterium. RNAcentral describes it as "partial 16S ribosomal RNA". It matches the Rfam family "Bacterial small subunit ribosomal RNA", at positions 28 to 507 of the family's 1533-position model. The record is from RNAcentral.